This 259-nucleotide long non-coding RNA is filed under the name Trifolium pratense (red clover). Its description in RNAcentral is "long non-coding RNA (TPRA_LNC011287)". The record is from RNAcentral. Lineage: Eukaryota; Viridiplantae; Streptophyta; Magnoliopsida; Fabales; Fabaceae.
UUGAAAUUGAUGAUAUUAUGAACAAUGAUCAAUUUUCUCUAAAAUUUCAGGACAACCCUUCGAUUCUGAAAUUAUGUCUGCUUAUGGACAUGAACAUAUGUAUUCUACAAGGAGUCUCUCAGCUGGUUCUGGUAUGAUCAACAAUUAUUAUCACCUUUGUUAGUUUUUUUUUUUAGUGUGUAACCCUCUAGAACUCAGGUUCUCCCGAACAACUUUUGGUAGAUUCUGUUCAUGAAUGAAUCAUCGUUUUAGUCUUUGG